AGGCAGGCCAACAUUUGAAUUCAGGAAAUACAGAGAAUGCCACAAAGAUACUCCUCGAGAAGAGCAACUCCAAGACACAUAAUUGUCAGAUUCACCAAAGUUGAAAUGAAGGAAAAAAUGUUAAGGGCAGCCAGAGAGAAAGGUCAGGUUACCCACAAAGGGAAGCCCAUCAGACUAACAAUGGAUCUCUCCGCAGAAACUCUACAAGCCAGAAGAGGGUGGGGGCCAAUAUUCAACAUUCUUAGAGAAAAGAAUUUUCAACCCAGAAUUUCAUAUCCAGCCAAACUAAGCUUCAUAAGUGAAGGAGAAAUAAAAUCCUUUACAGACAAGCAAAUGCUGAGAGAUUUUGUCACCACCAGGCCAGCCCUAAAAGAGCUCCUUAAGGAAGCACUAAACAUGGAAAGGAACAACCAGUACCAGCCACUGCAAAAACAUGCCAAAUUGUAAAGACUAUCAAGGCUAGGAAGAAACUGCAUCAACUAACGAGCAAAAUAACCAGCUAACAUCAUAAUGAAUACUUGGCAAUCUAUGUUGAACAAAUGAAUGAAUAAAUCCUGGAGCCAUUUUGUAUUUAGCUUUAUAAGAUACUAGAUCCUGAAAAGAUCAGCUUUUCAUUUAUUGUAUUGACCACUCAGUUUUCUUCCUCUAGGAAUUGUCUUGUUUCUCAUUUUCUGGUUGGGUUGUUUGGUGUUUUCUCUUAGUGUUUUGUAAGAAAUUUUAUAUCUUGGCUUGUAAUACUUUAUUUGUUACAUGGUUUACAAAUAAUAUCUGUAGUUGGCUUUUUUCACUUUGUUUUGGGCAUAUUUUGCCAUACAGAAGAUUUAAUUUUAUUUUCCCCCAGCUUUAUGGAGAUAUACUUUACAAAAAUAUAUAAUAUAUAUGUAUUUAUGGUAUACAAUAUGUGAUAUUUUAAUAUACAUAUACAUUUUUAAAAAAUUUUCCGGCAGGAGACCUGCCAGGGCAAAUUUCAUGAUAUUUUCUUGGCUUGUGAGUUCUCAGAUCAAUGACAGUAGUAUAAAUUUGAACCACACAUAUUCAUUACAAAAUGGAACUUUUCAUCAUUUGUUCUCAAAGCUACUCUUUCUCUGAUUUUGUGUAAACUGUAAGCCACUAUGUAAAAUAAGGUAUCCCUGUAUACCUAUUGCAUUUGAUGGCUCAGACAGUAUAGGAACUGACCGCUAUAUCUCACAUAAGCACAGUACAGCUUGUGUUGGCUCAGCUGGUACCAGGGUCAACUGGAAUCAGGGAUGCUACUGUGGCCGGGACAUUCCCCUGCUUGGUCUCUUGGGUCUCUGCUUUUUUCAGUAUGUUCAAUUCUUUCUAUGUUACCACGCAUUUCAGAACAAUUCUAAUAUGAUGUUGUCCUUCCAAUAAAACAUUGCUCAUCACAAUAAAAAAUGAUAAAGGGGAUAUCACCACUGAUCCCACAGAAAUACAAUCUACCAUCAGAGAAUACUACGAACACCUCUACGCAAAUAAACUAGAAAAUCUAGAAGAAAUGGAUCAGUCAUAGAAGACUGGUUGGCUGAUACGCCUCACCCUCAGUUAGGGGUGUCAUCUGGGUGAUUCUAGGCCAUCAGUAAUGCAACCAAAGAAAAUAACAUUUGAAGUUACAAAUAGAAAUCAGACACAAUUUUUCUGAUUCUCAGGACUCUGUGGCGUGACUCAAUUUGUUUUGCAAAACUUCUGUCAGUGGUGCGAUGAUAAAAUUCAGUUCAAUUCAAGGACAAGCCAUCAAAACAUUCCCUUUCAGGGAGGGGAUUUUAUCUUAUCCUCUACUAAAGUACUAAAUUAGUUGAAACUCUAAAUUAUCAUAGCUUGUCUAAAAGUCACACUAACUCAAUGCACUAUUUAUUUUCCAAAUACCUGCACAUUUCUUACAUCAUAACCCUCAUGAGUCAUAAAGAAUGUAUUUACUAUGAAAAAUAUUAGAAUACAAAGAAAAUAAGUCAGUAUGUCCCACUUUACCAAUGAAUACACAACAGGUGAUUUGCUCUCAUAAGCUUCCUGAGUUCAGAUCAGAAAGGUGACAGUUUUAACCUUUGGAUACUUCCUAAUUAUGCAAAAUGCUUGUAGUCCUUGCAAAUGAGAGAAUAAAAUGAUCCCUUUGGUCAGAAGAAGGCAGAGCUUCCACAUAAAGGUAGUUUUCUGGAUGUUAAUAUUUGGAGAGAGGUUUACCUUUUGGUGGUCUAGAUCAUUAGCCCUUUUUGGAGUCAAUUUCUUUUAUAUUUAAUUGACCAUACAGCAGAUAUGAUUAGAAUCCUCCCCAAAAUAUUUCCCAACUGAGAGCCACACUAAGUUAGCCAGCUUUCUAUAGACAUUUUUUUACCUGAAUGUUCCACAGUUUUCUCCAUCUCAAUCAACAUCAAACUAAGUCCUCAUUCCCUAUGCACCACACUUCUUCUCCAAGGUCACUUUAAAAACAUCUUCCUAUAAUUCUGAGAACAUGUAACUGUUGAUACUAAAAUUCAUCAUAACACUACCCUCUGUGUGUUCCAGGGAACAAGAUUAGGUCUGAGAAUUUGAAAUGCUACAAUGCUUGCUUCUGAAAUACUUCUAUCUCAAGCAAUUUUAGUAUGGGGC
RNAcentral lists this long non-coding RNA (2583 nucleotides) under Pan troglodytes (chimpanzee). Its description in RNAcentral is "long non-coding RNA NONPTRT013771". Lineage: Eukaryota; Metazoa; Chordata; Mammalia; Primates; Hominidae. The record is from RNAcentral.